GUCUCUGCGGUGCAAUCGGUUAGUGCGUUUGGCUGUUAACUGAAAGGUUUGUGGUUCGAACCCACCCAGGGAUG
Transfer RNA from Lepisosteus oculatus (spotted gar), 74 nucleotides. It matches the Rfam family "tRNA". From Rfam's summary of the family: Transfer RNA (tRNA) molecules are approximately 80 nucleotides in length. Their secondary structure includes four short double-helical elements and three loops (D, anti-codon, and T loops). Further hydrogen bonds mediate the characteristic L-shaped molecular structure. tRNAs have two regions of fundamental functional importance: the anti-codon, which is responsible for specific mRNA codon recognition, and the 3' end, to which the tRNAs corresponding amino acid is attached (by aminoacyl-tRNA synthetases). tRNAs cope with the degeneracy of the genetic code in two manners: having more than one tRNA (with a specific anti-codon) for a particular amino acid; and 'wobble' base-pairing, i.e. permitting non-standard base-pairing at the 3rd anti-codon position. Lineage: Eukaryota; Metazoa; Chordata; Actinopteri; Semionotiformes; Lepisosteidae. The record is from Rfam.